RNAcentral lists this ribosomal RNA (450 nucleotides) under uncultured bacterium. RNAcentral's name for it is "bacterial SSU rRNA". It matches the Rfam family "Bacterial small subunit ribosomal RNA", at positions 354 to 796 of the family's 1533-position model. The record is from RNAcentral.
GUAGGGAAUAUUGGGCAAUGGGCGAAAGCCUGACCCAGCGACGCCGCGUGGAGGAUGAAUGCCUUCGGGUUGUAAACUCCUGACACCUGUUAGGAAAGCUUUCCUGUAAACAGCAGGGAAGUAUGACAAAGGCAGGCGAUGAAGUCAUGGCUAACUCUGUGCCAGCAGCUGCGGUAAUACAGAGAUGACAACCGUUGUUCGGAAUCACUGGGCUUAAAGCGCAUGUAGGCGGAGAUUUAAGUCAUAUGUGAAAACCCCCAGCUUACCUGGGGACGUGCAUGUGAAACUGGAUUUCUUGAGGCCGGUAUGGGAGAGUGGAAUUCCUGGUGGAGCGGUGAAAUGCGUUGAUAUCAGGAGGAACGCCGGAGACGAAGGUGACUCUCUGGGCCGAGUCUGACGCUGAGGUGCGAAAGCCAGGGGAGCAAACGGGAUUAGAAACCCCGGUAGUCC